RNAcentral lists this transfer RNA (76 nucleotides) under Thiohalobacter sp. RNAcentral describes it as "tRNA-Thr". It matches the Rfam family "tRNA". Rfam says of the family: Transfer RNA (tRNA) molecules are approximately 80 nucleotides in length. Their secondary structure includes four short double-helical elements and three loops (D, anti-codon, and T loops). The record is from RNAcentral. RNAcentral also lists the same sequence under 1 other name. Lineage: Bacteria; Pseudomonadati; Pseudomonadota; Gammaproteobacteria; Thiohalobacterales; Thiohalobacteraceae.
GCCGGCAUAGCACAACUGGUAGUGCAACUGAUUUGUAAUCAGUAGGUUGGGAGUUCGAGUCUCUCUGCCGGCACCA